RNAcentral lists this ribosomal RNA (775 nucleotides) under uncultured Neocallimastigales. RNAcentral's name for it is "partial large subunit ribosomal RNA". It matches the Rfam family "Eukaryotic large subunit ribosomal RNA", at positions 23 to 616 of the family's 3401-position model. Lineage: Eukaryota; Fungi; Neocallimastigomycota; Neocallimastigomycetes; Neocallimastigales. The record is from RNAcentral.
AGAGAGAGACAUGCGCGCAUAUCAAUAAGCGGAGGAAAAGAAACUAACAAGGAUUCCCUUAGUAACGGCGAGUGAAGCGGGAAGAGCUCAAAUCUGAAAUCUUCAAGGGUUCUACCUUUACGAAUUGUAGUUUAAAGAAGUGUUUUCUGUUGAGGUUUUGGUAAAAGUUCUUUGGAAUAGGACAUCAUAGAGGGUGAGAAUCCCGUAUUUGACCUUUACUUUCAACUUUGUGAUACACUUUCAAAGAGUCGGAUUGUUUGGGAAUGCAGUCCAAAAUGGGUGGUAAAUUUCAUCUAAAGCUAAAUAUUGGCGAGAGACCGAUAGCGAACAAGUACCGUGAGGGAAAGAUGAAAAGAACUUUGAAAAGAGAGUUAAACAGUACGUGAAAUUGUCAAAAGGGAAGCGUUUGACACCAGUGUUGUUUUUCUGAAAAUCAAUUAAAGAACUGUUUAUGCUAAGUUGUUUAGACUUUAUCAGCUAACUGUUUAGUUUUGAGCUUUUCUUUAAUGCACUUUUCAGUUAACAAGUCAACAUCAAUUUCUUUUGCUGUAAAAAAGCUUGAGGAAGGUGGCUUGAGAUUCGUCUUAAGUGUUUAUAGCCUCUUGCCUAUGCAGUCGGAGAGAUUGAGGUCUGCAGCGUAGAUCCUUCGGGGCUGAAUGCAUUUGUGCUAAGUUAUAGCAUUUUAUAGACAACUUGUUGACUAUGAUUUGUCUUGUAGCUUACUCGCUUAUGUUAUUUUACCUACGCUUAGGAUGUUGAGCGCAUGUCUCUCUCU